GCGUGGGUGAUGAAGGCCUUCGGGUUGUAAAGCCCUUUCGCACGCGACGAUGAUGACGGUAGCGUGAGAAGAAGCCCCGGCCAACUUCGUGCCAGCAGCCGCGGUAAUACGAAGGGGGCGAGCGUUGUUCGGAAUUACUGGGCGUAAAGGGCGCGUAGGCGGCUUUGUCAGUCGGGCGUGAAAUCCCCGGGCUCAACCUGGGCAUGGCGUUCGAGACGGCGGAGCUGGAGUUCGGGAGAGGCGGGCGGAAUUCCCAGUGUAGAGGUGAAAUUCGU
Molecule: ribosomal RNA, 275 nt
Filed under: uncultured bacterium
Lineage: Bacteria
Description: partial 16S ribosomal RNA
Rfam family: Bacterial small subunit ribosomal RNA
Source: RNAcentral